AUGCACAAGUCUUGUGAUCUUGGAUCCCAACUUUCUGAAUUGGAUAAGAAGAAGAUCAGUCUCAACCUUGAUCUAGAACUAGCCAAGAAGAACCUCAAGAAUGCUCAGGACGAAGCAGCUAUCAUGGGAGAGAAAAUGAAGCAAGCUCUGGAGAAGAAGGAUCGGGAUCUUGCCGCGGCCCAGAAGGAGGCGCGAGAGAAAACAACACUUGCGGACAAGAAGCUGGCCUCAGUCAGCAAGUUGGAAGAGGAGAACUCCAAGUUGAAGACCGCCGUUUCUCAAGCUAACCGGGAGGUCAAGCAACUGAAGAAAGACAAGGAAAGCUUGACCGACGAAGUUGGUAGCCUCAAGGCCAAGAAGGGCGAAUUAGAGUCUUAUCUGGGGCAGCUUGCUGCGAAGUUGGUCUUGAAGCUUGAAGAACUUUGUCAAGAUUUUGAAGCAAAAACUGGGCGGGUCGAAACGGGUCUCGACCCCAUAAACUCUCCUGUCCAAGAUGACGUUGCAAUGAAUGUGUUAUGGUUGGAGUCACGUAUGGACAGUGCUGUGGGUUAUCUUGCUCGACUGAAGGCGGCUAUGACGCGGAUUGAUGCUGAAAUCUGGCCUCAGGCGGAACUCUCACAGGAUCUCGAGUCUCUGAUGACUCGACUCAAUCAAAUACCCAAUCGAGUGCAAGAAUGGAAGAAAUCAUCUGCUUGCUGUGGCGCUGACGUUGCCCUGUCAUUGGUCCGAGUGCACUGCAAGGAUGUCAGAGAAGACAAGCCGGUAGCCCUCAAGGUUGCGAACACCAAAAAGCACAAUUUCCAGUCCUUCAUGGACACUUUCCUUGACGCCACCACUCGCAUCGCAGACAACAUCGACCUUGUCAGUUUCUAUGAUCCAGCAAGUCCUUCUCUCGACGAGUGA
This 903-nucleotide ribosomal RNA is filed under the name Triticum aestivum (bread wheat). RNAcentral describes it as "partial small subunit ribosomal RNA". The record is from RNAcentral. Lineage: Eukaryota; Viridiplantae; Streptophyta; Magnoliopsida; Poales; Poaceae.